Molecule: long non-coding RNA, 518 nt
Filed under: Gossypium barbadense (sea-island cotton)
Lineage: Eukaryota; Viridiplantae; Streptophyta; Magnoliopsida; Malvales; Malvaceae
Description: long non-coding RNA (GBAR_LNC022762)
Source: RNAcentral
CCCUUGUCCAGCAAUUCAGUUGCUUCUGCAUCAUUUGAUUCUUGUUUAUCCACACGGUUUCCACCUGACUGUGGUGAGAAUGAUCCCCUCACCUCUUCUUCAAAUACUUCGUAGCUUUCAUUUUGUUGCUGAUAGCUAAGCUCUUUAGCUCCAGAAUGCUUAAUUUCCACUUCUUCCAUUGAAAAUGACAUUUCCAGAUCAAACCGUAUGUUAUCUUACAAGCUGGUGCAAAGCCUAAAAACCUGCAGAUAAUAACAAAUUUAGCAAAGAUUCCAAUAUUUUAAACAUAUCUAGUGGCUUGAACAAGCCAGGCAAGCACUCCAUCAAAUUGAUGCUUUCUUCUACACUGCUGCAGACCAGUCGGAAUCAGCAACAAAAUAAUCCAAGAAAGGUUGAAAAGCUCCAAUCAGCAGUACUCCAAGCGAAGGAUUCAUCAAAAUAAGUAGAACUACAAAAAGAAACCCACAAAAACAAGAAUAAUGCAGCACUGAGGAACUCCAGAGCCUCCAGCAGUGAAU